RNAcentral lists this ribosomal RNA (252 nucleotides) under uncultured bacterium. Its description in RNAcentral is "partial 16S ribosomal RNA". It matches the Rfam family "Bacterial small subunit ribosomal RNA", at positions 524 to 776 of the family's 1533-position model. The record is from RNAcentral.
UACGGGGGGGCAAGCGUUGUUCGGAAUUACUGGGCGUAAAGGGCGCGUAGGCGGCCUGCUAAGUCGGAUGUGAAAUCCCACGGCUCACCCGUGGAACUGCUUGGUAUACUGGGUGUCUUGAGCCACUUAGGGGCUACCGGAACAAAUGGUGGAGCGGUGAAAUGCGUAGAUAUCAUUUGGAACGCCAAUGGUGAAAACAGGUAGCUGGGAGUGUGCUGACGCUGAAACACGAAAGCGUGGGGAGCAAACAGG